RNAcentral lists this long non-coding RNA (1937 nucleotides) under Panax ginseng (ginseng). RNAcentral describes it as "long non-coding RNA (PGIN_LNC012734)". Lineage: Eukaryota; Viridiplantae; Streptophyta; Magnoliopsida; Apiales; Araliaceae. The record is from RNAcentral.
AAAAAAACAUGGGUCAUAUUUCAGGUCAAAAAAGGAUUGGCCUCUCUUUUUCCUCUCUUUCUCCUAAAUCGCGAUUCUCUUUCACAGCUUCAGCCGGACGAAAGAAGCUCUGGUAGCAAUUGUGACAUCAAUCUUGAGGAUACCGGCUGAAGAAUAGGCAAGACCAGAUCUGGUUUCGUGGUCUCUGUCCCUCUUUUGCCCAAGAAUUGCGACUCGCUUUCACAAGUCGCCGGAAAUAGUACAGCGAUAAACGGUCUCCGUCCGAAAACUCAGGAGUCUCCCUGAAUCUCGUGGUUUCUGUCUCCCAAGAACAUUCGCGAUUUAGGAGUCUCCCAAGGUAUUUUCUAUUACUAGAAUUUGAACCAAAUGAAUGAAAUCUAGGGUUUGGCAGUAAAUUUUGAUUUUUGGGUUCUGUCUAAGAAUUGCCAAAUUGUGUAGAUCUUUAUGUGAUGAUAUAUGGGUGGCCUUUCACGUGUUAAAUUGAAUUUGCAAUUUUUGUAGUGUAAUUAUGAUUAUGAAUAUUAUAUUAAUAUAGUAUAAUUUCGAGUUUUCACAGUAAAGCUUGUGAGUUUUCUAUGUAAAUCUGUGAACUAACAUAGUAAAAAGAUUUUAUAUUUUUAUAAAAUGGUAUUGGAUUAUUUGGCAGUAAAAUUUGAUUUUUGGGUUCUGUCUUUAUCCUUGAAGCUUAGGUUUCAAUUUAAUAGCAAACAUGUUACUUGUUGAUUCUUUCACUAGUCCUUCACAGUGAUGGUCUUUUCUGGCUGCUGGACUAAGAUCAUUCUAAGUGGUAUAACUGUUGACUUUUAACGGUGACAAUUUUAUUUUUGAUUGAAAUUAGUGAAUGCCUCGAAACUCCAAUAAUGGUUUCAGCAGAUAUAUGUCAAAUGGUAGAAAUGGUGACCCAGGUCAACACUUGCUUCUACUUUAGCUUCUGCUAACCCCAAAACUCAGUGAAUGGUACUCUGCGAUUAACACUUUCCUUUCUAAGUGGUAUAACUGUUGACUUCUAAUUUUUUUUUUGCUAGCUAAUUUGGGGGAGGGGCUGCUUAGAAAGGAGUCUACAGCCAAAGGUUGAUGGGUUUGCGAAGUGGUUUUUAAUUUGCAUGGACCCUCAUUUGCUGUCAUGGACAAAAACAUCAUCAUUAAUUAUGCCAAAACAAUUUAAAAACUAAAUGUCUCAUCCACUAUUUAUUUAUCAAAAUCUUUGAAUAGUCUCUAUUGUGAUUUGUGCACUUGGUGGGGCUGUAAAUUGGUUACAUAUGUUAAUCGGAAUUUUCCAUCUCCUCUGCUGUAAACUUGGGUAUUCUCUAACACCUACACCCAAAAACAUAUUUAAGUUUUCAUACUAAAAUUAUACUCAAUUUUGGAAUUUCAAUAACACUAACCUAAAGGUAAAAUGAUAUAGAAUACCAUAAUUUUUGGGUAGACAAUCCUAAAGCUAAAAUAACAUGUAACCAAUUUAUUCCGCUCAAUCAUGAUUUUUGUUCCACAAUUAGUGAAAGUAUUUACUUUGCAAAAUCCAUUAUUGCAUCAUAGUUUCACUGCAUAUUUCUUCGAUUUAAUAGCAAACAAUAUACCUGCUACAAUAUUGCAUCAUAGUCUCUAUUUGAUUGUUUUCCUUAUUGCAAUUUUGUCUCCAUCUUGUAGUUGACAUUGCUGCGAUUUUCGUGUUUCAGGAUGGGAGUCAAUGUGGCAGGGGCUGCUUUGACGUGUGGAUCUACGAAGUGAUGUAAUCUGCCAAAUUGCUGAAAUAAGCUAUUAUUGUUGUGUAUCAGAACCCUCUGUUUUGUAUUGUGUUAAUCGUGGUUGUUGCUUAUUGUUGUGAGUUUUUUUUACUUGUAAUACAUCACUGCUUGAUAGUGCUUUUGUGGGAUGAGAUAUUUUUAUAAUAUGUAAGGUUAUUGUUUGAGAGUGUUCUUUUUGAGGCUUGAUUCGAC